AUGAAGAGGAAGCCACUCUUGCUAUGUCCAAAGCAAUGCAAAAUUGAAAAAGACAAGUACAAUAAUCAGGAGCCAAGUCCCAUUGAGUUUUUUAAAGAGACCCAUACUAACAGCAUGAGCGAGCCGACACAUCUAGCUUAUAUUGAGUUAGUGGUGAGACUUGAAGCACAAGCGAGAGCAUUUGAAGAGGUGCAGAGGAAGCAACACGAAGAAUUGGAAGGUGUGAAGAAGAUCGAGCAAGAGAAGAAUGAAGCCUGGCAAAAGAAGCAACAAGAGACGGAUAACCCGAUUGGUUUUCUCUUAAGGGCUCAAGCAACUCAGCAAGCAACUUAG
RNAcentral lists this ribosomal RNA (333 nucleotides) under Triticum aestivum (bread wheat). RNAcentral's name for it is "partial small subunit ribosomal RNA". The record is from RNAcentral. Lineage: Eukaryota; Viridiplantae; Streptophyta; Magnoliopsida; Poales; Poaceae.